UAUAGAAAGAACUGCACGGAUAUUGAAUUCAUGGAUCAACAUGUUUGCUAUGGCUGAUCCUCUCUUGGCUUUGAUUUGGUGGCCUGAUUGGGACCCGCAUCU
This is a small nucleolar RNA of Juglans microcarpa x Juglans regia, 102 nucleotides long. RefSeq annotates it as small nucleolar RNA snoR100. The record is from RefSeq and is a predicted model, not a curated record. The transcript has a single exon. Lineage: Eukaryota; Viridiplantae; Streptophyta; Magnoliopsida; Fagales; Juglandaceae.